This 651-nucleotide ribosomal RNA is filed under the name uncultured Bacteroides sp. RNAcentral's name for it is "bacterial SSU rRNA". It matches the Rfam family "Bacterial small subunit ribosomal RNA", at positions 70 to 715 of the family's 1533-position model. The record is from RNAcentral. Lineage: Bacteria; Pseudomonadati; Bacteroidota; Bacteroidia; Bacteroidales; Bacteroidaceae.
UCUUAGCUUGCUAAGGCUGAUGGCGACCGGCGCACGGGUGAGUAACACGUAUCCCCCCUUCCGUCUACUCUUGGCCAGCCUUCUGAAAGGGAGAUUAACUCCAGGAUGGGAUCAUGAGUUCACAUGUCCGCAUGAUUAAAGGUAUUUUCCGGUAGACGAUGGGGAUGCGUUCCAUUAGAUAGUAGGCGGGGUAACGGCCCACCUAGUCAACGAUGGAUAGGGGUUCUGAGAGGAAGGUCCCCCACAUUGGAACUGAGACACGGUCCAAACUCCUACGGGAGGCAGCAGUGAGGAAUAUUGGUCAAUGGGCGAUGGCCUGAACCAGCCAAGUAGCGUGAAGGAUGACUGCCCUAUGGGUUGUAAACUUCUUUUAUAAAGGAAUAAAGUCGGGUAUGCAUACCCGUUUGCAUGUACUUUAUGAAUAAGGAUCGGCUAACUCCGUGCCAGCAGCCGCGGUAAUACGGAGGAUCCGAGCGUUAUCCGGAUUUAUUGGGUUUAAAGGGAGCGUAGAUGGAUGUUUAAGUCAGUUGUGAAAGUUUGCGGCUCAACCGUAAAAUUGCAGUUGAUACUGGAUGUCUUGAGUGCAGUUGAGGCAGGCGGAAUUCGUGGUGUAGCGGUGAAAUGCUUAGAUAUCACGAAGAACUCCGAUUG